GUGCACCAGGCGCGAAACUCCGCAAUACACGAAAGUGUGACGGGGCCACCCGAGUGCCGUGGCAACGCCACGGCUUUUCCGGAGUGUAAAAGCUCCGGGAAUAAGGGCUGGGCAAGGCCGGUGGCAGCCGCCGCGGUAAUACCGGCGGCCCGAGUGGUGGCCGCUAUUAUUGGGCCUAAAGCGUCCGUAGCCGGGCCCGUAAGUCCCUGGCGAAAUCCCACGGCUCAACCGUGGGGCUUGCUGGGGAUACUGCGGGGUCUUGGGGACCGGGAGAGGCGGGGGGUACCCCGUCGGGGUAGGGGGUGGAAAUACCUAUAAUCCCACGGGGGACCGGCCAGUGGCGAAGGCGCCCCGCCUGGAACGGGUCCGACGGUGAGGGACGAAGGCCAGGGGAGGCAAACCGGAGUUAGAUACCCCUCGUAGU
Molecule: ribosomal RNA, 424 nt
Filed under: uncultured microorganism
Description: bacterial SSU rRNA
Rfam family: Archaeal small subunit ribosomal RNA
Source: RNAcentral